This 119-nucleotide ribosomal RNA is filed under the name Pteropus alecto (black flying fox). Lineage: Eukaryota; Metazoa; Chordata; Mammalia; Chiroptera; Pteropodidae. The record is from RNAcentral.
GUCUAUGGCUAUGCUACCCUGAACAAGCCCAAGCCCUUCCGAUCUUGGAAACUAAGCAGGGUCGGGCCUGGUUAGUACUUGGAUGGGAGACCUCCUGGGAAGACCAGGUGCUGUAGGCA